Molecule: ribosomal RNA, 492 nt
Filed under: uncultured bacterium
Lineage: Bacteria
Description: partial 16S ribosomal RNA
Rfam family: Bacterial small subunit ribosomal RNA
Source: RNAcentral
GAUGAACGCUAGCUACAGGCUUAACACAUGCAAGUCGAGGGGAAACGACAUCGAAAGCUUGCUUUUGAUGGGCGUCGACCGGCGCACGGGUGAGUAACGCGUAUCCAACCUGCCCAUCACUUGGGAAUAACCUUGCGAAAGUAAGACUAAUACCCAAUGACAUCCCACGAAGACAUCUGAAUGGGAUUAAAGAUUUAUCGGUGAUGGAUGGGGAUGCGUCUGAUUAGCUUGUUGGCGGGGUAACGGCCCACCAAGGCAACGAUCAGUAGGGGUUCUGAGAGGAAGGUCCCCCACAUUGGAACUGAGACACGGUCCAAACUCCUACGGGGGGCAGCAGUGAGGAAUAUUGGUCAAUGGGCGAGAGCCUGAACCAGCCAAGUAGCGUGCAGGAUGACGGCCCUAUGGGUUGUAAACUGCUUUUAUAAGGGAAUAAAGUGGGUCUCGUGAGACUUUUUGCAUGUACCUUAUGAAUAAGGACCGGCUAAUUCCGUG